AUGCCCUCUAUUUAUAUCAAUAUUAUAUUGGCAUAUACCAUAGCACUACUGGGAGUAUUAGUCUAUCGAUCCCACCUAAUAUCAUCCCUAUUAUGCCUAGAAGCCAUCAUACUAUCAAUAUUUAUCAUAAUUACUCUUACAACUUUAAAUAUACAUUUCAUUCUAGCAUCCAUAACACCCAUCAUCCUCCUAGUAUUUGCUGCCUGUGAAGCCGCAGUUCUUGCCUUACUAGUUUCAAUCUCUAACACAUAUGGUCUAGAUUACGUACAAAACCUACACUUACUUCAA
RNAcentral lists this long non-coding RNA (288 nucleotides) under Homo sapiens (human). Its description in RNAcentral is "non-protein coding lnc-RALB-3:2". Lineage: Eukaryota; Metazoa; Chordata; Mammalia; Primates; Hominidae. The record is from RNAcentral.